RNAcentral lists this ribosomal RNA (253 nucleotides) under uncultured bacterium. Its description in RNAcentral is "partial 16S ribosomal RNA". It matches the Rfam family "Bacterial small subunit ribosomal RNA", at positions 524 to 776 of the family's 1533-position model. The record is from RNAcentral.
UACGAAGGGGGCUAGCGUUGUUCGGAAUCACUGGGCGUAAAGCGUACGUAGGCGGAUCGUUAAGUCAGGGGUGAAAGCCUGGAGCUCAACUCCAGAACUGCCUUUGAUACUGGCGAUCUUGAGACCGGGAGAGGUGAGUGGAACUGCUAGUGUAGAGGUGAAAUUCGUAGAUAUUCGCAAGAACACCAGUGGCGAAGGCGGCUUACUGGUCCGGUUCUGACGCUGAGGCGCGAAAGCGUGGGGAGCAAACAGG